CAGGGGGCCGGAGCUAUUAAAAGAUAAAUGUAUUUCUCUCUUCCAUUAUUCAUGAUGUGAGGAGGUGGGGAAGGAGCAGCCAGCCAGCGGCUUAGCACAGCAGUGGAUCCCUUCUCGGCCUCGUCAGGGCCAAGGCCCCCGCUACACCCGCUGCACCCGCUGCACCCAGAUGCAAGAGAGGUGAAACAAGAAGAGUUCAGCUCAUUGAUCUAAACCCAACGGGUGUCAGGCACCAAAGCUGAUCCACAGCAGCAGAUAGGGGAGUGAAUGUCACAGCAGCCCUCUCAAGCCCUCCAGGACUGAGCCUCGCAGACGUCAAGUGUUAAUUUAGGGUUCCUGCCGAGCGUGAGCCCGUCAGCGGCGAGGCUUGGAGGAGGGAGCCAGCCCAGGGCCUGAGGAAGGCCAAAGCCAGUGUCUUGGAGGCAUGCGGACUCCAACUUAUCCCUAAGAAUACAUCCAGGCAGCCAGGGGCACAGCGGGAGGCUAAUAGACUAGCACAGAGGAGCCCCCCUGAAGCUUGAUGCAUUGUGUCAAGGCCUUGUCUACUUCACGCACAUUAAGGAUCACAUGCCACAAUUUCACAGUACAGCAGGGGGACCAGGCCCCCGUCCCAGCCCCUGAUUGGCCAGUGAUGGAUGGUGUUGACAGUUACAAGCCGAGUGCCAAGUGGAGCAACACAAAGGUCAAGGUUGAAGCUGCCAGUGUGGUCCGGUUAACAAUAGAAGGUCUCCAUAGUAGGAAAAUGCUGUUUAUACUAAACACUAACUAUGUAGUUAUAUGGACACAAAGGAUUUUAGUCAUUUAAAGCCACGGCUUUUGUUAAAGAGGCAGACUUGCUUAAAAUGCCCAAGUCAAAACACAGCAAUCAUUAUAAAAAAAAUCCCAUUUAAAAAGAAAACCAAACUGUUUAGUAAUGGACAUUUUCAUGGAGACCACCAUGUCCCUGUGACAGAUAGCAGUUGCCGUUCUGUGGCACAUCACUCUGAGAAGAGGGGAAUAAAA
Molecule: long non-coding RNA, 1002 nt
Organism: Scatophagus argus
Lineage: Eukaryota; Metazoa; Chordata; Actinopteri; Scatophagidae
Exons: 5
Source: RefSeq, a predicted model, not a curated record